UGUAACUGUAAGAUCACUAUAAAAAAUUACGUUGUGUGAUACAACAGAGUCAUAUGCAUCACUCAUAUCCAUGGAAUUUGCGCAUCACAUGAUCCAGUCUUCAUAAAUAACAGCAAUCUUACAGUACCAGUUCAAAGCACCAGAGCUUCAAAGGAGGAAUAUUCUUGGAAUAAAGAAUACGAGGAUAUUUUCUACCAUAGUCAGCGAUGAAGACACUCUGCAUUCUUUUGAUUCUGAUGGUUUGUUAUAAAUCUGGCAAAAUGGAGCAAAUGAUAAAUUCAAUUUCGGAGAUAAAACCAACUGAGGGGAGGAGAGGACCAUUUUGUGGAUGGGUAAACCAUCAGCGAUUUCAUUGCAUAAAUGGAGAAUCGUGUUGUAGAUUUAUUCCAAGAACACCACAACGCUAUUAUUGCUGUCCUAUUCGACCAUCAGUAUGCUGUAGUAACGGAUUCUGUUGUCCAGUUGGUUCCAUUUGCGUGGGCAAUCAUUUAUGUUGGCAUUAUCCAAACAUGACCAAAACCUACGUAAAAUGAAAGCUUUUUCUCAUCCAUAGUACUUUUUAUGAUUAACUUUUUAAAUAAUUGUAAAAUCUUGUGAGUUAUGAGGAGUACAUAUGUAUGAAUACCAACAUCUGAUGGAUAAAACUAUUUCCGUGUUUGAAGAAAAUUUGAAUAAAAAGUAAAGAUACUUGUUAUAGAAAUGAAUCAAA
Long non-coding RNA from Xenia sp. Carnegie-2017, 709 nucleotides. RefSeq lists it as uncharacterized. The record is from RefSeq and is a predicted model, not a curated record. The transcript is spliced from 3 exons. NCBI's taxonomy places the organism in Eukaryota, Metazoa, Cnidaria, Anthozoa, Malacalcyonacea, Xeniidae.